UUCCAUGAUGCUAGUGACACUUACGCUUCAGGGUCCCUCAUCAGUGUAAUGUGUUUACAUGCUCAUGUGUUUUCAUAUGGUUGGCAAAUGUAAGAGACUUUAACUAUAACCUGUUAAAAUCGCUGUUUCUUUCACCUCUGACUUGCCCCCUGUCAUAUUUCCCUCAUUUUGGUGGCAUCGGAAUGGCCACUUUGGAAACUAGCUAAGGGGCAGUUGAGUUGAGGCUGUGUUUGGUUUGGAUUUAGUAGAGAUGUAUUUGUAUGGAGUGUAGUUGCUUCUCUGUGUAAUUCACUUUUUGCUAGUUGUCACUGUGGAGCCAAGCUUUCAGGAAUGCCCUGCUGCUCACUGCACAGACAUAUUCUGUGUCAUCCCACGAGAGGCCCUUCGAAGCUGUAUGGAGACCUGAGCGGACGUGUCUCUGCUGCUUGGAACUGGAAGUCCAGGGAGAGUGGAAGAAAAACAAGGUCUAUAACCUGCAGAGCCAGAAGCCUGUUGGUGGGAAAUUCAUCCAAUCAUCUGAGUAAUGGAAAAAUACCACCCGGGCUGGCUGCCCAGGGCAACAGGCCACAUGGACAUCAUCCCGUAUGUGGGGCUGAGCUCAACUUUGCAAAUGGAAGAACGGCUCCCAGCUCAUCGCAGCCAGGCACUCCAGCCAGACUAGACAGCUCACAUUCCAUGCUUAGUCCUGCCCCAGGGUACUUGUUCCUGCUGUUCCCCCUGCCAGGAGGAAUGCCCUCUCCUCUGUUCAUUGAACACUUACCACUGAGCACUUAAAUCUUGUAUUUUCUUUGAGGCCCCUAUCAAGGUCAUAUUCAUGUAGAUUUUCCACUUCAUCUCACUGCCUUCAACGCCUCUCUGUUGACUCAACUGCACGUUAUCUCUUAAUUGCAAUAUGGGCUGUCCGGGCACUGUCCUAGAGCUUGCAGCAUGCAGGCUUCUCACAGGCUUAUAGUGAUGUCUAGGCUGCAAGCUCCUCCAAGGCAUGACCCCC
RNAcentral lists this long non-coding RNA (991 nucleotides) under Equus caballus (horse). Its description in RNAcentral is "lncRNA (ENSECAG00000055721.1)". Lineage: Eukaryota; Metazoa; Chordata; Mammalia; Perissodactyla; Equidae. The record is from RNAcentral.